UACGUAGGUGGCAAGCGUUGUCCGGAUUUAUUGGGCGUAAAGCGCGCGCAGGCGGUUUCUUAAGUCUGAUGGGAAAGCCCUCGGCUUAACCGAGGAGGGUCAUUGGAAACUGGGAGACUUGAGUGCAGAAGAGGAAAGUGGAAUUCCAAGUGUAGCGGUGAAAUGCGUAGAGAUUUGGAGGAACACCAGUGGCGAAGGCGACUUUCUGGUCUGUAACUGACGCUGAGGCGCGAAAGCGUGGGGAGCAAACAGG
This 253-nucleotide ribosomal RNA is filed under the name uncultured bacterium. Its description in RNAcentral is "partial 16S ribosomal RNA". It matches the Rfam family "Bacterial small subunit ribosomal RNA", at positions 524 to 776 of the family's 1533-position model. The record is from RNAcentral.